Molecule: long non-coding RNA, 481 nt
Organism: Tripterygium wilfordii
Lineage: Eukaryota; Viridiplantae; Streptophyta; Magnoliopsida; Celastrales; Celastraceae
Exons: 2
Source: RefSeq, a predicted model, not a curated record
GGUAUCCAUGGUUGGCCAAGAAGGUCAUCUGGUGGCGCCAGGAAUACCAAAUUUCUGGGAACCCGUGAAGGAGAAGAACAAGGGGGCCACUCCCCUUCUCUGCUACGUGCAGCCAUAUACCGUUUGUUUGGAUCCGCUGGUGAUUUACCUCGUCUUCCAUGUUCCCUCAAGUUUACUCAAACUCAGUCGCAGAGAGGAACAGGCAUUCAAUGAACGAAACGACUUCAGAGGUACAUGAAUACCAUGUGUAUGUAUGAGGUCAUUUCUUUGAAGAAGGAUCCCACCAAUUGGUGCUCCUUCCAGAUAUGAACCCUACAAGGCUCUUUUCAUUGAUCUCUCUCGCAAUCUGAAAAAUCAUUUACCUAGGCAUCAGCUAUGCUACUCAGAUUUGCAUAUGUAAUAGUAUCUCCAUUACUGAUUUCAUUGCUGUUAAACCAAGGGCCACCUGAGCAGUCAAUAUUUAACCACAUCUCCUUCAACA